Molecule: ribosomal RNA, 460 nt
Filed under: uncultured bacterium
Lineage: Bacteria
Description: partial 16S ribosomal RNA
Rfam family: Bacterial small subunit ribosomal RNA
Source: RNAcentral
CCUACGGGAGGCUGCAGUGAGGAAUAUUGGUCAAUGGGCGCGAGCCUGAACCAGCCAAGUCGCGUGAGGGAGGACGGCCCUACGGGUUGUAAACCUCUUUUGCCGGGGAGCAACGGGCUUCACGUGUGGCGCCCCUGAGAGUACCCGGAGAAAAAGCAUCGGCUAACUCCGUGCCAGCAGCAGCGGUAAUCAGGAGGAUGCGAGCGUUAUCCGGAUUUAUUGGGUUUAAAGGGUGCGUAGGCGUAUCGUUAAGUCAGUGGUCAAAUUGAGGGGUUCAACCUCUUCCCGCCAUUGAAACUGGCGGUCUUGAGUGGAAUAGAAGUAUGCGGAAUGCGUGGUGUAGCGGUGAAAUGCAUAGAUAUCACGCAGAACCCCGAUUGCGAAGGCAGCAUGCUGGCUUCCGACUGACGCUGAAGCACGAAAGCGUGGGGAUCGAACAGGAUUAGAUACCCGGGUAGUC